RNAcentral lists this ribosomal RNA (768 nucleotides) under Bacillus pumilus. Its description in RNAcentral is "bacterial SSU rRNA". It matches the Rfam family "Bacterial small subunit ribosomal RNA", at positions 8 to 758 of the family's 1533-position model. The record is from RNAcentral. Lineage: Bacteria; Bacillati; Bacillota; Bacilli; Caryophanales; Bacillaceae.
AGAGUUUGAUCCUGGCUCAGGACGAACGCUGGCGGCGUGCCUAAUACAUGCAAGUCGAGCGGACAGAAGGGAGCUUGCUCCCGGAUGUUAGCGGCGGACGGGUGAGUAACACGUGGGUAACCUGCCUGUAAGACUGGGAUAACUCCGGGAAACCGGAGCUAAUACCGGAUAGUUCCUUGAACCGCAUGGUUCAAGGAUGAAAGACGGUUUCGGCUGUCACUUACAGAUGGACCCGCGGCGCAUUAGCUAGUUGGUGAGGUAACGGCUCACCAAGGCGACGAUGCGUAGCCGACCUGAGAGGGUGAUCGGCCACACUGGGACUGAGACACGGCCCAGACUCCUACGGGAGGCAGCAGUAGGGAAUCUUCCGCAAUGGACGAAAGUCUGACGGAGCAACGCCGCGUGAGUGAUGAAGGUUUUCGGAUCGUAAAGCUCUGUUGUUAGGGAAGAACAAGUGCAAGAGUAACUGCUUGCACCUUGACGGUACCUAACCAGAAAGCCACGGCUAACUACGUGCCAGCAGCCGCGGUAAUACGUAGGUGGCAAGCGUUGUCCGGAAUUAUUGGGCGUAAAGGGCUCGCAGGCGGUUUCUUAAGUCUGAUGUGAAAGCCCCCGGCUCAACCGGGGAGGGUCAUUGGAAACUGGGAAACUUGAGUGCAGAAGAGGAGAGUGGAAUUCCACGUGUAGCGGUGAAAUGCGUAGAGAUGUGGAGGAACACCAGUGGCGAAGGCGACUCUCUGGUCUGAACUGACGCGGGAGGAAGCGGAA